GACCUCAUAAAGUGCGUCGUAGUCCGGAUUGGAGUCUGCAACUCGACUCCAUGAAGUCGGAAUCGCUAGUAAUCGUGGAUCAGAAUGCCACGGUGAAUACGUUCCCGGGCCUUGUACACACCGCCCGUCACACCAUGGGAGUGGGUUGCAAAAGAAGUAGGUAGCUUAACCUUUGGGAGGGCGCUUACCACUUUGUGAUUCAUGACUGGGGUGAAGUCGUAACAAGGUAACCGUAGGGGAACCUGCGGUUGGAUCACCUCCUUA
RNAcentral lists this ribosomal RNA (264 nucleotides) under Escherichia coli. RNAcentral's name for it is "partial 16S ribosomal RNA". It matches the Rfam family "Bacterial small subunit ribosomal RNA", at positions 1270 to 1533 of the family's 1533-position model. Lineage: Bacteria; Pseudomonadati; Pseudomonadota; Gammaproteobacteria; Enterobacterales; Enterobacteriaceae. The record is from RNAcentral.